GACCCCAGGUSAGGCGGGGCUACCCGCUGAGUUUAA
Molecule: ribosomal RNA, 36 nt
Filed under: Apocynum pictum
Lineage: Eukaryota; Viridiplantae; Streptophyta; Magnoliopsida; Gentianales; Apocynaceae
Description: partial 28S ribosomal RNA
Source: RNAcentral